Pelobates cultripes (western spadefoot toad) is the source of this 335-nucleotide non-coding RNA. The record is from the annotation of a GenBank genome assembly. Lineage: Eukaryota; Metazoa; Chordata; Amphibia; Anura; Pelobatidae.
CUUAUCCACUAUUCUCACACCACGUCCACUAUUCCUCUACCACAUCCACUAUUCAUCCACCUCAUCCACUAUUCUCACACCCCAUCCACUAUUCCUCUACCACAUCCACUAUUCAUCAAACAUGUCCACUAUUCUCACACCACGUCCACUAUUCAUCUACAACAUCCACUAUUCAUCCACCUCAUCCACUAUUCUCACACCGCAUCCAAUAUUCCUCUACCACAUCCACUAUUUAUCAACACGUCCACUAUUCCCACACAGUAUCCACUAUUUCUCCAACACUGUCCCUGUCUAACCCACAACGUCUGUCCCUGUCCCCCACUACAGCACCUAGC